GAAGCAGUGAACUACUAGCUGCUGGUAUGAGGGUGUUGAUUUCCUUAAUUCUAGGUAAGCACUUUUCAGUGUCACACUGAAAAAUGUUUGCCUCUGUGCAGCUGUAGUUUUCUGUGUUUAAGUGCCUUGUGCAAAGGAAAUCUACUCCAUUCAGAGGAAGUGAGUUUUCACCAUAUGGCUUUUGCAAAUCAGGCUUCAGGGCUCAUAAUUGUCCACACUGUAUCCACUUGAAGUACACUGAAAGGAUUGUGUUUGAUUGUCUUAGUUUGUUGUAAGGGUGUGUGUGUGAUUGUAAUACACAGGAAUGCAGCGUAUGCCAGUCUUGCCCUUAGCCCUGUGUUGUUGCCUCACAGCUGUAGCCUGUCUUCAGCAGAGGCACCGGUCAGGCGGGCCAUCUCGUGGGACCUGGUGGCAAUGACGGCCUCAUUUUCAGGCGGGGGUCACAGCUGUGCUCCAUGCCUUAGCUUCCUCACCUCUUACUGUUUUUCCCAGAUAAAAAGUCACUUUUACUGGAGCCCUCUCAACACUGUAGGUUUGUAGAUACUAGUUUCCAAAUACGAGUGUGAAAAUGGUUCUCCUGUGGUAAUGGACUGUGAGCAGGCGACUGUAGGGUGGUCUAAUUUGUCAUGGUGGACGAGGGCUUCUGAAGGAAUUUGAGUCAGACCCAAAGCCAGGUUGGAGUUUUUAAAUUUCUUUUAACCCAGAGAGUGUUUGACUGAACACACAGAGCUCUCCCUUCAUUUGAAUGUUUUUAAUGCCCUGAUUCACAUUCAUAGACUAACCUUCACUAAAAACCUCAAAUGUUCUUGAUAGCGUGUGCCUCAACAGCAUUUGUUAAGGGUUGGGAAAGCAAUUGCUUUUCUGGUUUGUUGAGCAGACUUUCUUAGAGGGAGCGUACCUCAACUUCUAAGAAAACCUUGUGUUCUCACAACCUCCCUCUCUAACCAGCACUGUUGCUAUCUCUAUUGUUUCUUGGUUUCUUGUAUCACACCAAGGUAACAGAGUUAUAUUUUGUGAGGAAGAAAACUCAGAUUUUUUUGUUGUUGUUGUUGUUUUUUGUUUUUUUUUAGCAGCCAAGUCCUCAGCUGUUCCUCAAAAUCUAACAAAAUGUAUUUUUUAUUGCUCUGUUUGGCAGAUUGUUAUGUGGGCAUGAGUGUAACAUGAAUUUCAAUGUAUGAAUGCCGCUUCUCAGACAUAACAUUUUAAUCUGCGUCACACAAACUGCUUUUGAUGCACCCACUUUGAUCCUGUUGAACUGUCAGUAUUCUGAGUCACAGUAGUAUCUAAUGCACCAGUAAUUUGCUUUAUAAGAUUUAUGUAUCAUCAUUGUUUUUAACCUGAUGUAUAUAUUGGACUGCAGAAAGGUUAAACCAGCAUCAUAUAGAAAGAUAGGGUUUAUUUAUAGUUAAAUAACUAUCAAGCUAUUUCACUUUCCUGGUGUCCCAUAGUAUCCACAGUGACCGUCCCACAUAUCUGGAAGGAAAUCUGUCUCUUCACCCACAGAGAUAUACACUUUCACUUGCUGUUUGCUGUAAACCUGUUUAGCUCUAGCUGUCUUCUCCCAUCUUCCAUGGUCAUCUAAUGUUUUUUUUUUCCAUUUUCAUGACAUUUAGUUCAUAUUAGAUUGUAUUUGAUUAAUUGCUUUAUUUAUUUGAUAGCAGAUCUGUGCCAAGGGAAAAUACCCUUUUAUUAAAGUAUGAACCUGUUCCUAUUAAACUGCAUGACUUCUGG
Oreochromis aureus is the source of this 1731-nucleotide long non-coding RNA. NCBI's taxonomy places the organism in Eukaryota, Metazoa, Chordata, Actinopteri, Cichliformes, Cichlidae. The record is from Ensembl.